Long non-coding RNA from Pipra filicauda (Wire-tailed manakin), 490 nucleotides. RefSeq lists it as uncharacterized. The transcript is spliced from 2 exons. Lineage: Eukaryota; Metazoa; Chordata; Aves; Passeriformes; Pipridae. The record is from RefSeq and is a predicted model, not a curated record.
GCCGGGCUUUGUUGCCGGGGCCGUGGGUGCCGGGGCCCGCCGAUCCCCUCCGGCCGGGGCAGGGCAGGCCCGUGCCGGCCACGCCAGGCUAACUACACAGCCCUGGAGACUGAACCCUCAGACUAUCCACAGACCAUGGCAGCAUAGAGGAAAAGAAGCAUCUUUCCGGCACUCUCCAGAGCAGUGCAUGAAGCCCAGGAAUGUCUUCUCCCAAAGGCAGUGAGGAAACCUGGGUACCAAGAGGAAAAAUUGUAUGUUUUUUUGUGCCUGUGACACACCUGCCCAAACACGCUCCAGGUUUUUUUCAGCAGUAUGAACUGAAGGUGUUAUUUUCUUACAGUAUGAGGGUGUCACACUGUGAGUUCAGCAGCACUGGUGUAAAAGUGAGGCAUUCACUGGGGUACAAACUAUGUUGGGAUCAAAUUCUGUACUUUUCAGCCUGUUCUGAAAAUAAACAGUCCCUGAGUACUGCUGGCCUUCUUUUUCCAGA